UGGGGAAUAUUGCACAAUGGGCGCAAGCCUGAUGCAGCGACGCCGCGUGAGGGAUGACGGCCUUCGGGUUGUAAACCUCUUUCAGCAGGGAAGAAGCGCAAGUGACGGUACCUGCAGAAGAAGCGCCGGCUAACUACGUGCCAGCAGCCGCGGUAAUACGUAGGGCGCAAGCGUUGUCCGGAAUUAUUGGGCGUAAAGAGCUCGUAGGCGGUUUGUCGCGUCUGCUGUGAAAACGCGAGGCUCAACCUCGCGCCUGCAGUGGGUACGGGCAGACUAGAGUGCGGUAGGGGAGACUGGAAUUCCUGGUGUAGCGGUGGAAUGCGCAGAUAUCAGGAGGAACACCGGUGGCGAAGGCGGGUCUCUGGGCCGUAACUGACGCUGAGGAGCGAAAGCAUGGGGAGCGAAC
RNAcentral lists this ribosomal RNA (406 nucleotides) under uncultured bacterium. Its description in RNAcentral is "bacterial SSU rRNA". It matches the Rfam family "Bacterial small subunit ribosomal RNA", at positions 355 to 773 of the family's 1533-position model. The record is from RNAcentral.